GCUAUGAUGAUCAUUUAUAGUUUUGACAGUGAUGAAAAAACGUAAACCUCUAAGAAGUUCUGAGCUC
This is a small nucleolar RNA of Doryrhamphus excisus (bluestripe pipefish), 67 nucleotides long. RefSeq annotates it as small nucleolar RNA SNORD61. Lineage: Eukaryota; Metazoa; Chordata; Actinopteri; Syngnathiformes; Syngnathidae. The record is from RefSeq and is a predicted model, not a curated record.